Molecule: long non-coding RNA, 2891 nt
Organism: Canis lupus familiaris (dog)
Lineage: Eukaryota; Metazoa; Chordata; Mammalia; Carnivora; Canidae
Exons: 3
Source: RefSeq, a predicted model, not a curated record
AGGAAAAUUCUUCCUAACAUACAGAAGACACUUUAAAGAUGUAUGUUAACAGCUUUUCUAUGGACAGUGCUGCCCCUCAGCAUUUUGAAGCUACUCUUCCAUUGUCUUCUGGUGUACAGUGCUGCUGAGAAGUUGUGUCAUUCUUUGUUCCCUUGUGGGUGAUCAGUUUGGGUUUUUUUUUUCUUCUCCCACUUACUUUGAGAUCUUCUAUCUUCAGCAUUUUGCAGUUUCUUUUAUGAUGUGACUAGGUUGCGACUAAUCUCUUUAUCCUGCUUGUGACUCAGUAUGGUUCUUCAAUCUGUGGAUUCCCAUCUUUUUUUCCGUUCUGGAAAGUUAUCGCCCAUUGUAUCUUUGUGUGCUGACUCUUCCUCAUUCUCUGGAUUCUUCCCUUCUGGGACUCUAGUUGGACCCACUGUUAGACUUUUCUGGUUUCUUCUUUGUCUGUUUUCUUAACUCUUCACUGUCUCUGUCCUAGACUCUCAUCUUCCAGAACCAUUCCUCUGUCUUCACUAAUUCUCCCUACACCUGCUGUCCAGCCUAUUUAGUUUUGAAAUUUCUACCGCCUCUGUUUUUAUUUCCAGCAGUUCUCUUUUGUACAAGUAGCCUUGUUCCUUUUUCAGUUUCUCUCAAGCACUGUGCUAAUAUUCUUACUUCAUGAUUCCUUUUCAGCAGGCUGUCUCGAGUUCAGGGGCUGCCAAUCCUCCUGUGUAUGGUGCUCCCUCUUGAUAAGCCUUCUCUCCUCCUGGAGAUGGGGAAACUGAGGCAUGAGGUGGAUCAGCAACUUUCCCAGGAUUACGAAGCAUCCAAAUGUUGCCACGGAAGCAGAUCCUGGUCCGUUUGGUUCAACCACACUCCUAAUGUCCCCCCCUUGUUCUGAACAUGCUCUUGCAGUCACAGAGAAGAAAGUCUACACACACACAUUUGCAUUCAAGGGCUGCAGUGAUUAUUGGCCUAGCAACUGACGUGGCUUCUGUGCUUGUCACCAGGCUGGAGGUUCUGCAACAUGAUUUUUUUUAAUGGUAUACAACAUGAUGAUUCAAUACAUAUAUUACAACAUGAUUACCACAAUCACGUAAAUGAAGAUAUCCAUCAUCUCAUCUUAUAAAUAAAAAUUUGGACCUUGUAAUCAAACUGAGGUUUUUGGAUUCCAAGCCUGUGUUUUAUCACUAUGUGUGCUUUCCAUUUUACGGCCCUUCCCAGACUCCUUUGUUCUCAGCCUUUUCCUUAGCUCUUCCUUCCCCACCUCCUACCUGUCCUGUGCCUCAAUCCCCCAGGCCCUCGCUUGCUCUCUCCUGGGUGACAAUGGAUUCUGAUCUUGGCUUACAAGGGAUCCCACUGAUCUGGCGUGUCUCCUGGUGACAGCGUGCCUUAACUCUAUGUUAGCACACACCUGCCCCCUGCAAGCCCUGACAUUUUAGUGAAAGCAUGGGUUUCUGGCUUGUGCUCUGGCUUGUGCUGAGACACAUCAGAAAAGAAAGAGGACAUUUUUUUAAAUAAAGGGAAAGUCAGCCUCAGUAAUGGAGAGUUAAUCUGGAUGCUCAAAUUCCUUUCUAGAAUCGCCCAUGUGUUGCCUCUUCUAGAGGCUGUGGUUUCUGCAUCUGUUUGGAGGCUGUGGUCCCUACAUCUAUUCCAGACUCCUUGCCUCUAUGUGUGUUCCUGCUUCUCUGCCUUCCCAGCUUUCCAUCCAAAUCCUACCCAUUCUUCAAGACCCAGUGCAAGUCUGUUCUCCGUGAAACAUAUGUGCUUGUGCGAGUCUCUACGUUUCCCUGAAUUGAGGGCUGUUUGAGGUUAGGACUUGCAAGGAUUCAUCUCCUAAGUGUGGAUUGCUUCUGAAAGUUGUUUCUGGGUGGUCACUAAAGCCUUUUAGUUCAUGGGCUGUUGACACGACUGUCCGUGGAACUGCUGACGUUUGAGUGGUCCUUGCCUGUGUCUUCGCUACUCAAGACUGCCCACAAACCUGGUGGAAGGUAUUUCAUAUUCUUGUCUGACCUCCAUCCUUUGCUUCUUCUGGGAACAUCACAAUUUUCCUUUGGCAUAGUAGGGUGGGUGGGCCAAAGCUGGCCCAUCAGCUGCUUUCCUUUCUCAAACCCCGUGAGCUGUUCCUACAGAGCAGCUUACUCAGUCCAAGAUGACUUGGUCCCGGGGCUAAUGUAGAGCUAUUAAAAAGAACAGAAGCUCUCUAGUCUACUUGAAUGAAAGCCAGGAUUCUCUGGGAGUUCAACAUGUGAGCACAGCAAAAAGGAACCCAACCCAGAGGAAAGUAGAUGGAUAGUUAGCAAGAGAGAAAUUGUCUGAUUCCUGAUGGCACCUGAUCUGAAUGACACAUCCAGUCAGACCCAGCCUUGACAUCUGCAUUUCCCUGAGGCAAUGAACAUCCCUUUGCUGAAGCCUACUGGUCUUGGGAUUUUUCUCAGUUAGAACUCAAGGAGUCCCAACAGAUUCAUCCCCCCAACAAGUGGCGUUUCCUAAUACUGUGUUGUUACACUGAUGCUCUAACCCCAUGCCUUCUAGAACAAAGCACUUCUCAUCCCCAAACAUCAAUGACAAAUGCUAUCAUUCUUGCUUGUCUUCUUCCUUUUCUCCCACAGAGGUUAGGCAAGUAAGCAGGAGCCUAAAAUAUGGUCCUGAAAGCACUGGCUUUGGACUUGUCCACAGAACAGCAUUUUCGUGCUUAGAAGGAAUUGAGUGUGGUUCUCAAGAAGUUUGUAAAACAGAACCCUAUGCACACACGGCUGGUCCUCAGAGGAGAGGUGGGUGGGAGGAUGGGUGAUACAGGUGUUGGGGGUUAAGCACCGGGUGACAUAGGGAAGUGUUGAAUCACUAUAUUGUACACCUGCAACUAAUAGUGUACUGUAUGUUAACUAUCCUGGAAUUUAAAUACAAACUAAAAA